GACGAACGCUGGCGCCGUGCUUAACACAUGCAAGUCGAACGGUAAGGCCCUUCGGGGUACACGAGUGGCGAACGGGUGGGUAACACGUGGGUGAUCUACCCUACACUUCGGGAUAAGCCUGGGAAACUGGGUCUAAUACCGGAUAGGACCCUGGGAUGCAUGUCCUGGGGUGGCAAGCUUUUGCGGUGUGGGAUGGGCCCGCGGCCUAUCAGCUUGUUGGUGGGGUGAUGGCCUACCAAGGCGACGACGGGUAGCCGGCCUGAGAGGGUGACCGGCCACACUGGGACGGAGAUACGGCCCAGACUCCUACGGGAGGCAGCAGUGGGGAAUAUUGCACAAUGGGCGCAAGCCUGAUGCAGCGACGCCGCGUGAGGGAUGACGGCCUUCGGGUUGUAAACCUCUUUCAGCACCGACGAAGCGCAAGUGACGGUAGGUGCAGAAGAAGGACCGGCCAACUACGUGCCAGCCGCCGCCGUAA
This 478-nucleotide ribosomal RNA is filed under the name uncultured bacterium. Its description in RNAcentral is "partial 16S ribosomal RNA". It matches the Rfam family "Bacterial small subunit ribosomal RNA", at positions 28 to 523 of the family's 1533-position model. The record is from RNAcentral.